RNAcentral lists this ribosomal RNA (253 nucleotides) under uncultured bacterium. RNAcentral's name for it is "partial 16S ribosomal RNA". It matches the Rfam family "Bacterial small subunit ribosomal RNA", at positions 524 to 776 of the family's 1533-position model. The record is from RNAcentral.
UACGGGGGGGGCAAGCGUUGUUCGGAAUUACUGGGCGUAAAGGGUUAGUAGGUGGCCAACUAAGUCAGACGUGAAAUCCCUCAGCUUAACCGAGGAACUGCGUCCGAUACUGAAAGGCUUGAAUCCGGGAGAGGGAUGUGGAAUUCCAGGUGUAGCGGUGAAAUGCGUAGAUAUCUGGAGGAACACCGGUGGCGAAGGCGGCAUCCUGGACCGGCAUUGACGCUGAGGCGCGAAAGCUAGGGGAGCAAACGGG